AUAACAGGGAAGAAUUUCAAUUUAAAAAAAAAAAAAAAGAAGCAGAGCUUGUGAUAUAGGAUCUACCAAAUCUAAUGUCUAAAUUCUUUGCUAAGAAUAGAUUAUAAUGAUAUAAUUUAUAGCCAACAUCUUUUUUGAAGGAGCUUUGUAAGUUUCUGUCAAUUAAAUUAGUAGACAUAUACAGCUCUACCACUACAUUUUUGGUAAAAACACUUCUAAGUUAUUCUCACCAAAAAAAGUCAAUGCAAGAUUUGUGGAAAUUCAGACCCAGAGAAUGAUCAGGCUAAACAUCACAUGGCAUAUCAGCUUUAGAAUGGAACCCAAUAAUGGCUGUCUUUGACUUAAAGAGUUUCUGAGCCAAAGACACAAUAAUAAUGGGGAAUUUUAGGAAUAGAGAAUAGAAAUGUGGAUGAAAAAAGGUUAAUUGUUGAAAACUAGCCUAAUUCUUUUUUAAACAAAGGAAAAGGGGAACGGCUCUACUGGUACCUUGGACAGAGCAUUAAAAUGGAAGUUCCAUGAUAAAAGGAAGAAAAAUACACCUUCAUUACAUUGUAGAGUUAAGAAACCAUGCCAGUCACAGUGCCUCCAACCAGAGAUCAAAGAAAUCCUCUGCGAAACCCUUCAGUUUACAGAACUCUGUCAAUCAGUCUGUCAAUGUUCCGGAUUAUUAUCCAAGUAGCAAUCCCAAAUUUUGCUGGAUAUAUCAGAUCAUCUCCUGCUCCAUAGAUUAACAGUGUGGCUUCUUCCUGUUUACAAAGAUGAAAAAGUGGAAAAGUGGUGGAUAUUAUUUGGAGAGCCAAAAAAAGGCACUGUUAUUGUAUCAAUAAAAGGAGACCAUAUGUCCACAUU
Molecule: long non-coding RNA, 849 nt
Organism: Sarcophilus harrisii (Tasmanian devil)
Lineage: Eukaryota; Metazoa; Chordata; Mammalia; Dasyuromorphia; Dasyuridae
Exons: 3
Source: RefSeq, a predicted model, not a curated record